GCCAGUGUGGCGUAGUGGUUUGAGUGUUGGACUACAACUCUGGAGACCAGGUUUCAAUUCCCUACUCAGCCC
Molecule: transfer RNA, 72 nt
Filed under: Phrynosoma platyrhinos (Desert horned lizard)
Lineage: Eukaryota; Metazoa; Chordata; Lepidosauria; Squamata; Phrynosomatidae
Description: tRNA-OTHER
Source: RNAcentral